RNAcentral lists this long non-coding RNA (1850 nucleotides) under Suricata suricatta (meerkat). Its description in RNAcentral is "lncRNA (ENSSSUG00005014197.1)". Lineage: Eukaryota; Metazoa; Chordata; Mammalia; Carnivora; Herpestidae. The record is from RNAcentral.
GCCCGCCUCUUUCAGCCCGUGAGCGAAGAACACUUCCUACAUUUUUAAAGGCUCAGAAACCAUUCAAAACAAUAGUGCAUGAAAAUUCUAGGACACUCCAAUGCCACUGCCACAGAUAAUGUUAGGAGCACACAGCCAAGGCCAUUCAUGUGCGUGUCAUCUGGGGCAGCUGUCAUCCCACAGAGCAGAGCCAAGCGAUUGUGACAGAGACUUUGUCGCCCAGAAGCCCUAACGUGUGUUCUGUGGCCCUUUGCCAGAGUCAGCCGAUCGCUGGUGAGCCCGUUUUCGCCCUGGGGCAGAGACAGCCUGGUCCACACCCGCCUGCACAACCCACCUUCAGUGGGGCGGCCAGAGCAGAGAGGGGCUCCUUCCUGGUGGCCCCGGACCAGUCUCCCUGGGGAGGCCCUUAGGGCUCGGGCUCCUGCUCGCUCAUGCGGGCAGGUGGGGGAUCCCGGACCUGCCCUCCCCACGCACCCCGCCCGCUCCCAGAGGCCUUCAGGCCCACAAGGGGGGCAGGCGCCAGGCAGAGGGGAGCGGAGGCAAAGCGUCCAGGGGCUGCAGGGGGGCGGGGGCGGCCUGGGCCUGGGAGCUUGGCAGGCACAGGGGAGGGUAAGGGCCUGACGGCCGCACAAAGACCACUUUGUUCCCAUCCCACCGCAGCCUCUGGGCGCUUCUGACGGUUUCGCUGCCAAUUCAGGUGCCUUCUUCCCAGUGCCAGGCUGGCUGGGCUUCCCGCCCAGAAGGAAGGUCCAUGUGGACCGGAGCUCCGGGAAGCACUGCCGGAGGUGGGGGCUGGGAGAAGCGCCGGCCGCUGCCUAGACAGCAAAGGUGACAGGACACACGAGGUGCAUGUUCAGAGUGCGUGAACACAGAACAGAUGCACAGGCGCACACGUGCGCUCGGGCACCACCCGCUCCUCCUACACACAGGGAGGCCAGCGCACAGCAGGGGUUGGAGGUUGAGUCCGGUCUCCCUGCCCCGUGGAUGUGGAGCCUGGGGGCACCCCUCUGUGCCCUGCAGCCUGAGUGAAGCGGACCAGAAGGCCUCAAGUUCUCGGCGACGCCACGCUUUAAGGUUUUGGAAGACCCCGCGGCACCACCUGCGAGCACCAGGGGGCGCAGGAGUUCGGCUGGAAGCAGGUGGCCUGAGUCCGCAUCUGCAGGCUCUUCCAUCAGCCUGAAAAAAAGUCACUUGUCUACACACCCCCCCACCACAGGACUCUGGUUUGGUUUCCAAAUACAUUUAUGGGCUGUGUUUUCUGAUUGCAACGCGAUAGUAUCUGGAUAGUGAAGACAGUCUGGAAAUGAUUUCCAAGGACGGUCAUCCCCCAUCCCGCUGUCACCCAGGGCGAGGAGUGUGUGUGCCCGCUCUCCGGGUGCCAAAAUGUACACACGCAGCUCCGGGUCGCAGCCUGUGAGUCUGGAGUUGUCUCUUGCCCAGCAAGAGGCGGAUGCAGAAAUGAAAACGAGAGAGGGUAGUGGCCGGGAGGGGACAAGAGCCCCACACAGGCUCCGUGUUUGUCAUACACACCGGGUGACAGUGCAGAAGACAAUCAGUCGGUAUUGUUAACAUGUGUGUAAGAAGUGAAGCGUCUGGGGGGCGAGUGGCGUUGUGAUCAAAGUACAUUGGCACCAGACGGAAGGAGUUUCCUGCAGGGGACACAAGUCACCAGUGGUCCCGUUGUAAUUUCUCACUGAUGGACCUCGGGCGCCUUUGCCCCGUGGCCACAGCUUUCUGCCCUAAGCCUUUUGUACCCCGUUAAUGAAAGUGUAAGGAAUUCGUGAACCUGCUCCCCCACAGCUCUGGGUCGUGCUUACGUUUAGAAUCUCUCAGAAAUCCUUUGUUUCUUC